RNAcentral lists this long non-coding RNA (7002 nucleotides) under Xyrichtys novacula (pearly razorfish). The record is from RNAcentral. Lineage: Eukaryota; Metazoa; Chordata; Actinopteri; Labriformes; Labridae.
CCACGUUCAGAUGUCUCUGAGUGUCGGGGGGGGGGGGCUCCUUAUUAACUCAGAAAUAUUACCAUCUCAUGACCGGACCACCCGGACCAGAACAGGAGGAGGAUUACAGCGUUUAAAGAGCCGGAGAAGAGGAGAGAGUCACCGUGGCUGUCGUCACCUCGACACUGAGAGGAUCUAAUACGACAGGACUCGACGGUUCGACCGUUUCACUCAGAUUUACGACGAGAAACAGACGUGUGCGAAUAAUAAAAUGUAUAUAAAGUCAUGUGCUCAUAAAAAAAAUCAACAAAUGUUUUUUCCUGUAAAUACGGCAGUGAAGUUAGUUUCAGGUUGGAUAUAUUUUCCUGUAAAUACGGCAGUGAAGUUAGUUUCAGGUUGGAUAUAUUUUCCUGUAAAUACGGCGGUGAAGUUAGUUUUAGGUUGGAUAUAUUUUCCUGUAAAUACGGCGGUGAAGUUAGUUUUAGGUUGGAUAUAUUUUCCUGUAAAUACGGCGGUGAAGUUAGUUUCAGGUUGGAUAUAUUUUCCUGUAAAUACGGCGGUGAAGUUAGUUUCAGGUUGGAUAUAUUUCCCUGUAAAUACGGCGGUGAAGUUAGUUUUAGGUUGGAUAUUUUUUUCUGUAAAUACGGCGGUGAAGUUAGUUUUAGGUUGGAUGAUACGGCGGUGAAGUUAGUUUCAGGUUGGAUAUAUUUUCCUGUAAAUACGGCGGUGAAGUUAGUUUCAGGUUGGAUAUAUUUUCCUGUAAAUACGGCGGUGAAGUUAGUUUCAGGUUGGAUAUAUUUUCCUGUAAAUACGGCGGUGAAGUUAGUUUUAGGUUGGAUAUAUUUCCCUGUAAAUACGGCGGUGAAGUUAGUUUCAGGUUGGAUAUAUUUCCCUGUAAAUACGGCGGUGAAGUUAGUUUCAGGUUGGAUAUAUUUUCCUGUAAAUACGGCGGUGAAGUUAGUUUUAGGUUGGAUAUAUUUUCCUGUAAAUACGGCGGUGAAGUUAGUUUUAGGUUGGAUAUAUUUUCCUGUAAAUACGGCGGUGAAGUUAGUUUUAGGUUGGAUAUAUUUUCCUGUAAAUACGGCGGUGAAGUUAGUUUUAGGUUGGAUAUAUUCUCCUGUAAAUACGGCGGUGAAGUUAGUUUCAGGUUGGAUAUCUGACAGACAUUCUCUGAGGAUCUACCGGUGUCUUCUCACUCUCCAUAACCAGGAAUAACAACAGCAGCGCGGUUAAAUCUACUCGACACCCUCACUGUCAACGUCGGUGUUGAAUAAGGGACCGUCAAUAAAUUACCGGUUGAUGUUCUCAGAAAAGGCUGUUUUCCUUCAAUAGCUUCACUGUCAUGUGACCAAAAGACCUAAAAUUGAUUUAAAAUAAUAGUACUAAAGUCGAUCAAUAAGACAAACAUUAUUGAUCAGUUUUCAUAGAUCCCCUAAAGUUCUUUGUGCUCCUUACUUUUUCAACUUAAGAGAACAUGUGAACAAAGUUAGUGUGAAACCCUGUAAGGGGUCCAAAACCAUGUGACACCGAGCAGAGACUUCACAAGAUGAGGAGGAAACAGUGAAAAUUAAAGUCACUUUUAAAAACAAACGCAUGAGUCUGCUGACACUUAAACAUCCUAAUACAAACACGCCUGAUUCGUCCAAAGACGCCAGACUCGAGCGUUCACAGACGGCGGUCAGAAACCGCUCCUCUCUUACUGACUCUGAGAAACGGACUCUCCUGACUCUCCUGACUCUCCUGAAUCCAGAUCCUCUCUCCUCUCUCAGCCUCGUUCUCUUUUUUCCUCACAGUGUGACUGUAGCGCAGAAAAGCUCCAGAGUAUGACUCACAAUACCAGAGAGCUAUUUCCAAUCAAAGCAGAGAGAGUGUGUGUGUGUGUGUGUGUGUGUGUGUGUGUGUGUGUGUGUGUGUGUGUGUGAGUGUGUGUGUGUGUGUGUGUGUGUGUGUGUGUGUUAGAGCUGAGUUCGUAGCAAACAUAUGUGACUGCCUUAUGUAGAAGACAGAUUGUUCUCCUGCUGUACGGAGCUGAAGGACUUCAGGACGGCCAGCCAAUCACACGAGGGCUGAUAUUCCCAUCGCUAUUCCAGAGAACAGAGAAGAACGCCGUCGGUGGAGAUGUUCACAGACAUGUUCACAGACGUGUUCACAGACGUGUUCAGGUGUGUGGGAAAGACACACUCUGAGUUUCCACGGCAGAGUAAAAAACUGGUCGACAGUCGACUUCAGCUGCAGGAGUGUCCACACACACACACACACACACACACACACACACACACACACACACACACACACAGUCAGGACUGACUCGGACACCUUUGCUCAGCAGGAUGUCAUGUUGCCAUGGUACCGCCCUGACUUACUCUUAUUACAAACACGUUUAAACGGAUUUCAGGUUUUUAACAAGCAAACGACUAAUUCUGGAGACCAGAGGAGCUGAGAACUUUCUGCUGCUGCACUGUCUCAGAGCUGGAGGACGGACGAGCAGCAGGACGAUAAACGAGUCCAUUUAUAAAUGAAGGAAGUGAGACAAACUAACGCUGUAACUGAGACAAGAGAGCCAUACUUAAUUUCCCUCAAUAUCAAUAUAAAACAUGGUCAAUAUUCUUUUCAAUAGUCGUCAUUCUGACAUGUUUUGGUCGACUAUACUAACAGCCAAUGAAAAGGGGAGUGUCUCCGGGUCUGAACCAAUCAUGUUCUGAAUUAGAACCAAGUAUCAACCAACUGCAAAGUGGUAGCAGACAGCAGCUCCACCCAACCAUAGCACUUUAACAGGUGAAGCCGACAGCACUGAUGUUGUUCACGAUGUACGGUGAGUGACGAAGGAGUCCUGCUGUGAGGUCUGGACUAACACCCGCCCGGCACACACAGGAUUUCCCAUCAGAACCGAGUCCAACUGUCCAAACCAAAACUCUCACCGACUCUGAAGUCAAACGACAAAAACACAUCAAAUACAGGAAACACGAACUGAGCAUGUGCCAAAAUGAGGCGCCGACGUCUGCAGACGUGAUGAAGGUUCAGGUACGGGCUGCAUGAUAUAUCGUUUGAUCGUCGUCAUGGCGAUGUAUUUGUGCGCGAUAGUCACAUGUCAGAGCCUGCGAUGUCGGAGGUGAAUGAACUCGUCUAGUUUCAAGUGUUGCUGACAUACACUAUAUGUGACUCUAUAUGUGCUGUGCAGCGAUCCACCAAUCACAUUCAUUCUUUACUCAGUUGCUACCCUGCCAGCCGUCAAUCAAAAUCAGAGAGGAGGAAACCACGCCCCUGCACAUGGAGUGAGUCGCUGACGCUGCCGGUGUUGUUCCGAGAAACGCCGAGAAUGACUUUGUGAACAUUCCUCAUCACUGUUUAUCCCACAAAUAGGAACUGUACGGGUUUGAAAUCAUACUUUCUGUGGACCACCCUAAUAUAAGAGGUGUUUCUGUGAGGUGGAUGCAAUUCUAGGGGGGCAUACCUUUCUCAGCACAACAACAACGAUUGUAAAAUGAGAAACAAACAAGAGAAAACCACCGAAGAUGAAGACUUGUUUCAGUUAUCUGGAAUUAUUUCAGUUAUAAGAAGGAUGAUGUCGACUAAAACAUCUGUUCUGUGUUCAUCUGUUUCCACAAUAACGUCCAGAACAAUAAAAACUAAAAUUAUCUCUGAGACAGACAGAAGACAGUCUACUAACAUUCACUAAGAGAGGGAAGAUCAGAGCAGGUUAACUGUCCUCAAGACUUCAGCAGAAACUCAGAUUCAGGUCAUCUGAGGAGGAAAAUUCAUCGAUUUUUUAACAUCACAGGGUUGAAAAAAAUCACAAUGUUAGUUUUUUUUCUAAUAUGGUGCAGCUUUAGCUCAGGUUAUCUACUCUGACCACUUCAACAUCUGGAUCUCCAGGACCAGGACCCUCCUGAUGGAUUUUAGCACAAACAGAGAACCCAAAGGACCCAUCGUCUCCUGCUCCAGAAAAGGCGGUCUAAAGUGAAUCCAGGAACCGCUCAUGGUGGUUUUAUCUCCUCCCUCUGCAGAAACCAGAGGCCAUCUUUUCAACACGCUAAAUUGAUUUCUUUUGAAGACGUUCACGUCACGCACAGAGAGGAAGCUUUCACGGUUCAAACAUUUCAAGAUCCCGACUAAAAGGUCCGCCAAGAAAAGGGGUCAUGCUUUGUAAACAGUAAGUGCAGCGCUUUCACCGCCAGAACAACCAACAAGCCCCCGAGCCUUCGGUCAAGGUCCCGCACGGCACGCCACGUCUGAGGGGAACCAGGACUUCACAAAAGGUUGCUUUCAGCGCCGGCGAAGGACAGCAUCCUCAGAAUUCACUCAGACACGAGAGCCGGGCGAGCGCGGGAACACGGCGCCAACAUCGCAGGGGUUCAGAAGAUUUCAGAGAGCGCUUUUACAACCAAGAAACCUGCUUCAGGAAAUCAAUGACAUCAGAGCGACGCGCCCACCUGUGAGCGUAAUUACAGACCAAGGCCGCCGCUCGCAGACCGACCCGUCUCUCCACUAACAGCCUCUUUUUCUUGGCGUUGUGGCGGGGUGGCGGCCCUUCGGCUCAGACGGCGCAGAUUAGUUUUAGCCUUCAGCUCAUCCCUCACAAAAAAAAAAGGAAAGGUUGAGAAUUCUUACAAAAACGGCGCCGCACUCAAAUGGGUUUAUUAUUAUCUGAUGCUGACAGCCAACGCCACGGAAAGCAUCAACAAAGAGCUGCGAGCGAAAUCCAAACGCCAUAUGCUUCACGGAUGUGAACACAAACUAAAGUGGCAGGUGCAUCAACAGAACUGUGCCGUCCUGACAUCCCAACAGCCCAGAACAAACAGAGAAUCUCUAAACAGCAGACUGACUCAUUUGCAGGCGCCGAGUGUUGAUGCAUAUGGAGAGGCAGCGAGGAGGAGGAGGAGGAGCGAGGAGGAGGAGGAGGAGCAGGAGCAGCGUUCAGAGAGGAGGUCUCUCCACGUGUAAAUCAGUGAGGCUGGAACAUGAGAGCUGCUGUGUCACACUGCUGCUUUGUCUGCUCCUCUCUCCGUCCACCAUCCACUCCCCGAGACCGAGGAGGAGGAGGAGGAGGAGGAGGAGGAGGAGGAGGAGGAGGAGGAGGCUGCUGCUGGGAACACUGCCAACGACAUGCAAACCGUGACUGGGCAAACACGGCUCUGCAGGCCGUGUUCUGCUGCAGCUGACUGCAGAACCAGCUCUCAGGCUCUAAAUCAACGUGUCGACCACAGCUGAGCGCAGAGUUAACGCUGUUAGUCAGCAUCUAUUCACUCUAGUUCUAUUCACUCAUCCAGGUUAACCUUCUCGGUGUCAUCGCCCAGAUUUCCCUCAUGGGGCUGAAGACGGUAAACCACUGAGGUCUUCAGUUCAUGACGAGGAUCAUUAUCUCAACAGAAAAACUGAUUCCCUCAAAGGUUCAGGAUUCAAGAGAAACUAUUAUUGACCGAAUCAAUAAACGGAGAAUUCAUCAAUAACUGAAUUCAUAACUAAUCGAUCCUCUCAGUCAUUCGUCAAACCGAGGUGUCGCUUCGUUCUUCAGCCUGUUUAACGUUUUUGAUUCUCCAAAUAUCAGGAGAGAGCCGAGCAGAAAACCAGACCAUGAAAACAACCCUGACCCCCGACCUCCACCUUCAUCCUGAUCGUCUCCUAAAAGGUCGUAUCCUCCGAUCGUAGCUGAUCGUAACCAUUCAAGUUAACGUGUCAAUUUACACCGACUUCUUUCCAUCGGACGCCGGAGCAUGGCGGAUAAAUUCAGCACAGAUUAACCCGUGCUGGAAAGGAAGUCGGGCACAGACACAAAAUAAAACAUCCGGCUUCUUUUCAAAAUAAAACACUCCGUGUUUCAGGAGGAUCGUAUUUCACACCAUGCAAACGGGCGGAGACGAACAAGUGAAAGGUUUUUAGACGUCAUUUCACCCCGAUGACACCAUGGAUGAGGAGAUGCUGAUUCUAGAAGUCUAGAAGUAGAUUUCCUCCUCUGGAAGGACACCAUCUACUGCUUAUAUGUCUAUGUGUCUGUCUUUAGAGAGACAACUUGUUAUCGUGAGAUUGAACGUGAAUCUGCAGGUUCUUGUGAGUUCUCACGAUUCCUGCUGUCUGUAAUCCGCCUCGAAAUUCGCUUCACAGACCGAUCCAGUGGGGAUUGGCGGACGGCGAAAAUCGAUGCUGUUUCGGAUGCGGUAAAAAUUUUCCUCCAGAAGUUAAAAAACCAAAACAUGUUGGAGAUGAAAAACUUUAAAUCGUUAAUAUAGUAAAAAGUUUGAUGGGGGAUGUUCUGGAUGGUUCUGGGAUCAUUUCCUGUCCUUCGUCUACAGUCUCAAUCUAAUCUAAUCUAAUCUAAUCUGAUCUAAUCUAAUCUAAUCUAAUCUAAUCUAACGUCUCCUCACUUAAGUCCAUUUUAACCUUUUUCUUCUGUUUAGAUUCAGACACUUGUCGCAUGGCGAGGACUGAUUCAACCACACGAGUCGACCACAGACCAUCACCACUGUGACCAUCACUCAAUCAUUAACCAGGAGAGUCCUCUUCCUCCGCACGCCUCUAUCCUUGAGAAAUCUCAAUCCCUAUCAGCUCCAGGAAUGCGGCUCUGCGCCCCUGACCUCUGACCCCAGCGUGGAGGAGGAUUUCCCUCUCGGCGUCAGUGAAGCUCCACGCUCUCCUUUCCUUAUUUACAUGUAAUCUCCUCUGCGAGUCCCUGCGAGGCUUUCCUUCAAUCAACCUCCAAUCAGAAAACUGAACCGUUAACGAACAUGAGGGUUCGAAUCUGAAGAUCAACGCUAACUUGAUUAUGGCGCCGGUGAGACCGCCGUUUCUACACCUGAGGAUUUGUCUACUUAGCUCUUCAUCCUGCGAGUCUGCCGCUCUCCUCCGAGGUACCCCAACACAUCUGUUUACUUAGUGUGUGUGUGUGUGUGUGUGUGUGUGUGUGUACAGGAGGCGGAGUCUGUGAGGAACUUGAGGUCUCUGAGGCCGAGAGCCUCUGAAACCCUCCUGGGAGGCAGCCGGCCGUGCGCCAAAUCUGUUAUUGCGAUGACUUCUGACAGCCGCAGCAGC